Molecule: ribosomal RNA, 3653 nt
Filed under: Triticum aestivum (bread wheat)
Lineage: Eukaryota; Viridiplantae; Streptophyta; Magnoliopsida; Poales; Poaceae
Description: partial small subunit ribosomal RNA
Source: RNAcentral
CUCCUCUCGAAGGAUGCAGCUCGCCGUUGCCGGUCGUUGCUGGAUACGGCUGCAACUCGCCGGCUGCCGGUUGUAUCACUGCCCCCAUGCUGGUUACACCUCUCCGGCCUCGUCGUGGAUACAUACUUUCACUACUAGAAAAACGCUUAUAGAUAGAAUUUUACUAGUAGCGCUGGUUUAAGCAGAAGCGCUACGGCUAAGUACCAGUAGCGCUAGAAAUAACAAGCUCUACCAUACAAUUUAGCAGCAGCGAUGGUUAGGGUGGACCGCGCUACUGUUAAAUGUGCCACACCACACGGCCAGGUCAAGAGACACUAGCAGCGCUUGGAACCUAUGCAAUGCUACAACUAAAGCAAUAGCACUAACGCUCUUUGUCGCCCCGCGCUACAGCUGUGGAUAGACAUCCACUGGCCCGACUGGCCUCCUCACCUCUCUCUCUCAUUUCUCUCUCUCUCUCUCUCUCUCCCACGCGAUCCCCAAAUCGCUGCCCCUGCCGCUGGCCUCCCUUGCCAACUCCGGCGAGCUCUGGCGCCGUCCAGCAUACCCACGGCUCCCCCUCACUGAGUUCUACCUGAUCCACCUUUUCGAUCUGCUUUCCCCUGCCUCGUGUGGUCGCUCGCUUCGGUCAAACCUUGCUAGGGUUUCGGUGCUUGCGGGGCUAGGUCGCCGGCGUGGUUCCGGCGCCUUGCUCUUGUGUGACUCGCCUCCUGGCUGUGCCCAGGUGUUGCACGCGUCACUAAUGCGGCCCAGUGGUCGCUGGCGAUGCGGCGGUCGCCUGCCUCUCCACGGCUUCGCGUACCUCCCCUCCUGCCGUCAUGUGACGACGGUGAGUUGGCCACACCGCAACCGCGGCGGUGGCGAUGCACGGCCUCGGCUAUAACCCCUUCAUGGUGAGCUUCUCCUUCUCUGCCCAAUUGCUGCCUCUACUGCCUAGACCAUGGCCGUGGUGAUCUUGGUCCUCUUCGUGUACUGGUAAUAUGACUUAGGUUCUUGAGGACGCUUGGAUUGAUGGCUAUGGUCUGCUACUUGAUUUGUGCUUUACUGAAAUUAGUUGGGGUAGUUGGUUACUGUUUAGGGUUCAUAUUUGGGCCUAGAUUUGUUGAUGUGCUAAUGCUCCGGUUGAUCCACUUGUCCAUACUCUAGUUCUAGUUCAUGCCUACGGAAUCGUCAUUGGGGAUUUGGUGCUGCUGGUGGUCCUAUGUGUUGCUGGUGGUCCUAUGUGCACUUGUUUGAUAUACUAGCAUUGUAUCCUUAACUGACAGUUAAACCAUUAACCUACCAUGCAUAUAGAUGUGUUCAUGUGGAAUUGAUGCUACUCUAACUCUGUGAUCAACUUGUGGUCAUGAUCUAGUUCUGGUUGUAGUUCUUGUUAUUUAAAUGUUCCUUUUAUUUCAGUUUCUCUUGCUGCAAGUAUAAUUACAUGCUUAUAUUCUUGUUGGCCGUAUCUGUGUUCAAUACAUAUUAGUUUUUAUUUAAAUACCAUGUACUGGUAUUUCUUGUUCUGUUUAGUACAUCAUCUUUUAGUGGUUUAGUUGUAUAUUGCACAUCACAUAGUCAUGGUAGUUGCAUGUGGUGACACUUCUUUUAUUGCUUUAGUUAUAUCAGAUGUUUCUUUUACAUGCUUAGUAAUUAACAGUAUCAUUGGUUUAAAUGAUAUAGCCCUUUAUUUAUAGAUACUUAUAUUGCUUUACCUGGUUCAGUUUAGAAUAGAUGCUCUCUUGGUCUUAGCUUUUCUCUCUUCCUUUCUUUCCUCCUCUUCUAAACUCUACUGAUAAGAACAGUUGCUCCUUGAUCUUAACCAAGCCCAUGAUGCUGGUCUGAGGCUCCUUGACCUUAACGACUUGGCUCUCCAAGCAACAAAAUCAGUUCAGCGGCGCUCUUGGAUCCUCUUUCUUGCUUAUUGGUCAGAUUCUGAAUCUAGAUUCUGCUAUUUUGGUUCAUAUUCCAUUGAUUUGGUAUGCUACAUCUACAUUGAUGCAUCAACUCUGCCCCAUAAUAUGGAUACAUGUUUGCAGGCAGUUUUCUUCGAUAGUUUUGUGUUGCCAUUGCUACCAGUCAUCAGAUUUUGGUAAGUUAUCUAACACUGCUGUUAGAGUCCAGAUGCGCCUUUUAGGUUUAGGAGCACCGCUGUCUAGCUCAGCAGGCGAGAGCUCUAAGUGUUGUUAUGUCUGAAAUUCCAUGGACAACCUUGUUUUGUUGGCAUAGUUAUUACUAGCCAUGCUCGGCAGUAUGACACACAUUGUGGCCGAUGGAUUUCGGUUUUCCAUGUGGUGUAAAAAGAAAUAUGUAGUAGUUUUUUUCCUAUUUAAUUGAUAACUACUUGGAUCGUGGAGGGUGGUGUUGAACGUGUAUGAGUGUUUGAUUUACUUAUUCCUCUCACAGAUGAGGAGAGUAGAAAGUAGCAGUUGGUAUUGCUUCUAGUGUAGCAGGCUAAAGCACUGAUCUUAGAAAAAUAAAUAGGUAUCCUAAACACCAUGAUUGUAAACGUGGAAGUCUGUUGUAUCAAACGAUUAUAUCGAAACGGUUUUGGCAAGAUGUGAUGGUCAACUGCACUAUGUGUGUCUCACUAGUAGUUGUAACAGGUGCUCAUUCUUCCUGAUGGACUGAAAUGCUUUUGUGCAUUACCUGUGUUUACACAGUGUAUUUUUUAUCUGUGGCACUUGCAGACUUGUGAAUCAAUCAAGAUGCAUUUACAAUCUUGAUCGUAAGAGCUUUCGUAAGAUAAGCUUGUGUCUAGCUUUGCUUCCUCACUUUGCUUCUAUUAUUCCAAUUAAUUGAAAAGGAUCCAAACAAGGCAGUUCCAUUGUUCCGAGCAGCUCUUAACAGUGGUGAACAAUUGAGAGUGCAUUGAAGGAUAUGGCUACUAUAUUGAAACAAGCAAACCGGGCUGAAGAAGCCAUCGAUGCGAUAAGAUCCUUCUGUGACCGUUGUCCCAAUGAAGCUCGGGAGUCUCUUAACAAUAUUCUUCUUGACCUAUACAAGAAAUGCGGUAGGACAAAAGAAACAGAUUGAAAUGCUGAUAGUGAAGCUGAGAAUGGUUGAUGUGGAUCUAGCUUCUGACCGGUGGAAAGCAAAGAUUUCUAAAUCUCAUGGAAGAGUAUUAUAUCUCUCUUUGAGGGAUGAAAAGGCAAGGUUGUUGGGUAACCUCGCCUGGGCCUAUAUGCAGCCUGAUAACUAUGAGGAGGCUGAAAUGCUCUACAAGUAUAUAUCUCGGCCUUGAAUUCGGCGUCCACGGCCAAACCCAGUAGGGAACACAUGGACAUGAAGCUACGGCGGCGACGAAUACGAUAUCGACAUUGGGCUGCGGCGACGAUGAUGACGACAACAUCCGCAUCGACACAGGGUUACGACGGCAACGAAGACGACAUCAACACCAUCAACACGGCCUUGUGGAGGCGCUGACGCCGACGACAUAGACGCGUGGCAUAUAUUGUGUGUGUGUGUGUGUGUGCGCAUGUGCGUGUGUUAAUUAUCUACAUCAGAUAUGUAUGAUUGAUGAUUGACUGUAUGCAUAACAUGUACGUAUUGUGAAAUGCAUGUCUAAACUGAAAUAGGUAGACUUUUAUUUUUUUUAAAUCCUAAUUUGUUACCAGUAGCGUGGGUGUAUCAUAGAAACGGUACUGCUAUUCCUUUACUAGUAGUGUGGGUGUGGA